AUGUGGAACUGUAAGUCUAUUAAACCUCUUUCUUGGUUUGCGCCCGUCCUGUCGGCCAUGUCCCGCGGGGUGGCGGGUGCACUGAGGCCCCUGGUGCAGGCCGAGGUGCCCGCCACCCCGGCGCCACCUGUGCUGGACCCAAAGUGGCCCAUCUUGAACCAGGAGUGGCUGAGCGGCCAGACCGCGCGCCAGCCUUUGGUCGUCUCUGUGAGCCUCAAUGUCCCUGCUUCUGUUCAUUAUUCCCAUACAGACAUCAAGGUGCCUGACUUCUCUGACUACCGCCACUCUGAAGUUUUAGAUAAAAUAAAGUCUUCAAGAGAAAGCAGCGAUGCUAGAAAGGUUUCUCCUAUUUGGUAAUGGCAGCAACUGCUGUGGGUGUCACGUAUGCUGCCAAGAGUAUCGUCACCUAGUUCGUUUCCUCCAUGAGUGCUUCUGCUGAUGUGUUGGCCAUGUCAAAAAUCAAAAUCAAGUUGUCUGAUAUUCAAGAAGGCAAGAACAUGGCUUUCAAAUGGAGGGGGAAACCCCUGUUUGUGUGUCAUAGAACCCAGAAGGAAACUGAGCAGGAAGCUGCAUUAGAAUUGUCCCAGUUGAGGGACCCACAGCAUGUUCUAGAUCGAGUAAAGAAACCCGAAUGGAUGAUCCUCAUUGGUGUUUGCAUGCAUCUUGGUUGUGUACCCAUUGCAAAUUCAGGAGAUUUUGGUGGUUAUUACUGCCCUUGCCAUGGGUCACACUAUGAUGUGUCUGGCAGGAUCAGGAAGGGGCCUGCACCUCUCAACCUAGAAGUCCCUACCUAUGAGUUCACCAGUGACGAUAUGGUCAUUGUUGGCUAGAGACUUGGACUCAAGUCAUAGACUUCUUUCAGUCUUUAUGUCACUUCAGAAGACUUAUUUGAGAGCAAGCCUUUUGCACUUGAAGUUGAUUUGAAAUAUGUAAGAAUUGAUGAUGUAUUUGCAAACAAUAUGAAGCAAAUUGAAUUUAAUGUCGAAUA
Molecule: non-coding RNA, 988 nt
Organism: Callithrix jacchus (white-tufted-ear marmoset)
Lineage: Eukaryota; Metazoa; Chordata; Mammalia; Primates; Cebidae
Source: RefSeq, a predicted model, not a curated record